Long non-coding RNA from Amphiprion ocellaris (clown anemonefish), 800 nucleotides. Lineage: Eukaryota; Metazoa; Chordata; Actinopteri; Pomacentridae. The record is from Ensembl.
ACAUCCACGUCAGCUGAUGGAGGUCCAAGAGUCUCACCCAACAAACAACCUACAGAGUGAAGACCUCAAAUCUGAUUGGACGGCCUCCUAUUCAGCCACGUGUGAACAAAUGCCUCUAAUUUAGGCUGUUAGAUUGUUCCAGAUAAGACAAGUACAAGAUUCUUCAGAGCCGUUCUACCACGAGCCUGACAGGAAGAACUCCAACAGCUACUGAAUGUUCCUGUGGUCCCCUCAAGGCUACAGGAGGAGCCCUACGAGGACGAGCUGGUCCACCUGAUGGCGGCCAGUCGCUGCGGUUCAAAGCCAACACCGACUACGUGGACUUCUACUGGACCACACGGAGGCCUUCAAACUGGACCAACAAGUUCAGCGACUCCCCGACUCGUGGGUCUGAGGACGCCGCCGAGCCUCGGUCCAGCCGGCCUCCUGUCUGUGGGUGUUUGAGUGCUGAGAGGUUUAUGGAUCCAUGUGAACGUUCUGUGUUGAAACAGCAGCUUUGGACUCAGUAACGCCGGGAAAAACCAAGAGCUCCUUUAUUUGUGACUUCCACUAAAAAAAAACUGAUGAAAAUAAGUUUGCCAGGGUUCUGACUGAUAACAGAUUAUUAAAUAAUGAAAAUAAUCGUUUAAAUAUUCCUUUAAACAAUCCUUUUAGGUCUACAUUUCCUUUACACUGACUUCUUGGUAUAUGUACAAGUAUUUUGGGUGGAAUAUACCAUUAAGCCCAAUGUUCAAGGGUUCUUCUGGGAAUAUACCAUUAAACCAACCUUUUAGGUAAAUGUUCCAGGAUGUUGGGUAGAA